AAAAGUUCGUAUUCAUUUUAUAUAGAUCGUUAUGCAAGGCAUCUCCAACAACUUUUAAAAUUCGGUAAAAAUGAGGUUAGAAAGCGGAAAAAAGAGUGUAUCUCUUUUUCGAUCAGAAGAAAUGACAUUAGCACAGUUAUUUCUACAAUCUGAGGCGGCAUACGCGUGUGUUAGCGCUUUGGGAGAGCUAGGUUUGGUUCAAUUUAAGGAUUUGAAUCCUGAUGUGAAUGCUUUUCAAAGGAAGUUUGUCAAUGAAGUGCGAAGAUGUGAUGAAAUGGAACGUAAACUAAGAUUUCUGCAAAAGGAAAUACUUAAGGCUGGCAUUGACAUUGGAACAUCUCAUGGAAGUCCUUCUGCCCCUCAUCCUCGGGAAAUGAUUGACCUUGAGGCACAAUUUGAACAGCUUGAAAAUGAAAUGAAAGAUAGCAAUGUGAAUUUUGAAGCUAUGAAGAAAGGCUUAUUGGAACUUACUGAGCUCAAACAUAUUUUAAAAAAGACGCAAGUGUUCUUUGAAGAGGCUGAGCAUCAUCUCUAUGAACCACAGCAUGAAGGAAGAACUGAUGACUUAGCCAACUUGCUGGAUGAACAUCAAGAACAGCCUGGAUCUCAACUUGGCUUUGUGUGUGGCGUAAUUGAUCGGGAACGAGUGCCUGCAUUUGAACGACUGUUGUGGAGAGCCUGUCGUGGAAACGUCUUCUUUAAACAAGCUGAAAUGGAGGAUCCAAUGGAGGAUCCCGUCACUGGUUUUUUCAUCCAUAAAUGUGUAUUCAUCGUUUUUUUCCAAGGAGAACAGCUAAAAAGUAGAGUGAAAAAGAUCUGCGAUGGGUUUCGUGCAACAAUGUACCCAUGUCCUGAUACAACUCAAGAGAGACGUGAGAUGGCGCUGGGAGUAAUAACGAGAAUUGAGGAUCUUCAAACGGUUCUGAAUGAGACUGAAGAGCAUCGUUGUCGGUUGCUCAGUACUGUUGCAAAAAGCAUUAAUAACUGGUUUAUUAAAGUGCGCAAGAUUAAAGCCAUUUACCACACAAUGAAUAUGUUUAAUCUUGAUGUCACUCACAAGUGUCUUAUUGCUGAAUGCUGGUGUCCAGUAUCGGACCUCGAUCAAAUACAAGAUGCUCUCAGACGUGGAACGGAAGAAAGUGGUGCUUCCGUUCCUUCGAUUCUUAACCGUAUGACAACGAAAGAAGAUCCCCCAACUUUUAAUCGUAACAACAAGUUUACUGAAGGCUUUCAAAAUUUGGUCGAUGCUUACGGUAUUGCCAACUACCAGGAAGUAAACCCAGCUCUUUUUACCAUCAUCACAUUUCCAUUUCUCUUCGCUGUCAUGUUUGGUGACUGUGGUCAUGGCCUGAUAUUAUUUGUCUUCGCUUUAUGGAUGGUAUUGAAUGAAAAGAAGCUGGCUAUCACUAAACCUGGCGGUGAGAUAUUUGAAACCGUGUUCUCUGGUCGCUAUAUUUUGCUGUUGAUGGGUGCAUUUGCCAUUUAUACGGGAUUAAUUUACAACGAUUGUUUCUCCAAAUCCUUCGACAUUUUUGGCAGCGCGUGGCAUAUUGACAAAUCACACGUUUUCAAUCCAACAUAUCCCAUGCUGCCCCCCAAUUACACCGACUAUUACCGUGGAGUCCCAUAUUACUUUGGAAUUGACCCGAUAUGGCAAGUUGCUGAAAACAAAAUAAGUUUUACGAACUCGUUGAAGAUGAAGAUGUCCGUAAUUCUAGGCGUCUCACACAUGUUGUUUGGAAUCUGUCUUAGUUGUGCCAACUACAAGCAUUUUCAGCAAAGAAUCAAUGUUUACGCUCUCUUCAUUCCUCAGGUUCUUUUCCUGCUCAGCGUAUUUGGUUAUCUGAUAUUUCUUAUAUUUUACAAGUGGAUAUUUUUCAACUCUGGAUCUAAGAAUGCCCCUAGUUUACUGAUAAUUUUAAUCAACAUGUUCCUAAAAAUAAGCAGUCCAACUGCACCUGAAGAUCGGCUGUUUGCUGCCCAGCCAGUAGUCGAAAAAUUGUGCGCAAUCAUUGCUAUUUUGUGUAUUCCUUGGAUGUUGUUGUCAAAGCCACUUUACCUGUGGUUCACACGUCACAAUAUUCGUCGUCAGGUAUUUAAGUCGCACAUUUGUUUAUUACUUAUGUUUUGCCGCGAGCUCAUAUUUAAAGUUGUAGUUUUUUUCAAGAUUUCCUUUUAACCUUGUUUCUGAUAUUUUGUCUGUUUGUAUUUAUCCACAAGUAAGCGAUAAAAAUGGUGAAAUUUUGACAUGUGCACUAAAGAUGCAUGAAUUAAAUUAUUGAUAACAUCAUAUGAUCGCAGUACGAAUUAAAAAUUAAAAUAGUUUUUGUUAUGAAAAUUUUAACACGCCAUGAUUUUUUUGAGAAUGUCAAACACCAAUUUUGGCAUUAGAACGUCAUCUUUCUCUAAGUAUUAUUGAAAUCAAGGUAUCAUUGCUAAGCAGUUUCAAGAUAUACGCAUCUUCUGAGGAAAUUUACAAAUUUGAUAUUUUUGACAUCUGGUUACGCAUGCGCUGUGCGUCAUCGUUAAGCAAGCCUACGUGUUAAAGAAUAAUUUGCAAAUUAAAAGCAGUAGCUUUUUCCUCCGUGUGUAUCUCGUCGAUCCGCCAUAACUGUUUAAAAAAGGCAGAUUUUAAACUCUGCAUUUUGGUGUCUUGGUUUCUACAUGAAUAUUUACGUAGGUAUUUUUGAAAAGUGAAAACCGUCAGCAACUCUCUCCAGUUGAUUUACAUGACGGCACAUAUCUUUAUAAUUCCCAUGAUGGAUUAUCUUUCUGCGUGUAUUUGAAAUUCACAAGUAGUUAUCUUACAUCAUUCUGAUUCCCGGAACAAAUGUAUCAGAUUUGUCUGAGAUUGAUCACAACAUGAUUAGCAAAUCUCAUUAUCAUUUACACACUAAACUUCACAAGUCCGUGUAGACGUGCAAGUAAUAUUAAAAGCCAUCCAUCAAGAUAAUGAAAUUGAUUGGAAAAAGGCGAGUAUAAAAUAUAUAUCAACAGUUGAAUUCUACCUUCUUGCUGUGUUUGAUUUAACAUAACCUUAGUUUAACAGAGUUUACGAUUAUCACAUUUAGCAAUGCGUCAGUUGACGCCAACAACUAGGUGCAAACAUUUCGUUUUAUGUCAAAAAUAUUUACUUUUGUGAUAAUUUUCACUAAUGAGUAGCUAAUUUUUUUGUUACGUAGUUGAGUUUUCGAAUACGACUCACUCUUAUAACAACCGAGCAACUCAAGUUUAUAUAUUAAUAAAUAAUUUACUUGUAUUCAAUUGUUAAUUUAUACUUGUUCAAAUAUGAUUUACUGUUUGUUGUUUACGAUAUAUAAUAUUAAUGUGACAUAAGUCACAUCAUUUUUUUUGUGAGGAGGUUACAUGUUUGCUGAUCUUCUGAAAAGUAGCGUUCUUUAAACCUGAAUAUGAUACGACUGUACCAUGACUAUACCCAAUAGAUACCUAUCUUAUACUUCGUGCAUAUAGAUAACUUAGAGAGUUUUAGUUUGGCGUUUAAGGCAAACAGCCAACCGCAAAAAGUCACGUGAUCUUAGCUUUGCCGUUUGUGUUCGCAGUUCAGGUUUUAACGGCAAGAGGCCCUUCUUGCGGUAGGUGAUGUUUAUAAUGCUUAGGCAAGCUUAUACUUUUAAUACAACCAAGUGACGUUUUUGGCGAAAUUUUAUAUUUUUAUGUGAGUAUACAACAUGCCUUUUUCAUCAUCAAACGUUUUACAAAACAUGAAGUUUAGCUUAGGACAAUGCAAAUUGUAAAAUACAACUGCAAAACGCCAAACUUUGAUUCAAUUUUUUUCCAAACGGCAAACCUUAACGGCAAGAGGGUUUUCGAAGUUUGCCGUUUUCUUUAAACGCCAAACUGGAACUCUUUUUUUCCAUUGAAUAACUACGAAUUAACCAUGCAUACAUCUUCACGUAGUGAAAUAGUUUUAGUUGCUCUUACUGCAAGAAGGUCGAAUUCUGUUCACAUACUUUCACGGUUCAGUUUUUCUCUUACACAUGUAGGGUUUUGUACAGGUUCCUCAAAAUGACGAA
Xenia sp. Carnegie-2017 is the source of this 4034-nucleotide RNA transcript. It is a transcript of the gene named V-type proton ATPase 116 kDa subunit a1-like, with no coding region annotated. The record is from RefSeq and is a predicted model, not a curated record. NCBI's taxonomy places the organism in Eukaryota, Metazoa, Cnidaria, Anthozoa, Malacalcyonacea, Xeniidae. The transcript is spliced from 20 exons.